Paramuricea clavata is the source of this 674-nucleotide non-coding RNA. Lineage: Eukaryota; Metazoa; Cnidaria; Anthozoa; Malacalcyonacea; Plexauridae. The record is from the annotation of a GenBank genome assembly.
CAACUAUUUAAAUUCUUUAAUUAUAUUUAACGUUGAGUUUUCUAGCUUCAUGCAUUGCUCUUAAUAAUACAUGUUGCUAUGAGGUAUAACAUUUGGUUCAGGGCUUUUUUUGAGGAUGUGUAACUGGAGAGGACAUAAUUAGCGGGGGACCUGGAGAAGUUCCAGUUGGCAAGUUUGUAUCCAGGGCUGUAGCUAGCAUGUAUAGUUCGGGGGGUGUAGGCCAAAAAUUUCCGAAUGACGAAAAUAAUUUCCGAAUGUAUCAUGGCAUAGUAAGCCACGAAGGUGGCUUAAAUAAAUAAAUUUCGAGUCUCUGAAAUGCCAUUUCCUGGACUUUGGGGAAGUUUUGACAGAAUGCUGAUGGUCAGAAAAAAGCGUUUUAGUAUGUCGGAAUUUACAAUUUGCUUACAAUUUAUAGUGACAAUACAAUUUUAUAAUAUUUUCUCUGUUUAACAACUAAAAUUUUGUUCUACUAUUAUUUGCAGUAAUUUUCCGAAUGGCCAACCCGAUUUCCUGAAUAUGUUGAUUCUAAAAAAGUUGGGGGGUUAACCACCCUCAAUACCCCCCUCGCUACAGCCCUGUCUGUACCACUGCAGCUACCUACAGCAUAGGGCAGCAGCUCAGGCCAUGCUUAACUAGGACUCUGAGACAACUGAGUCGACCACCGAAGAUGCCCC